UUCCGGUUGAUCCCGCCGGAGGUUACUGCUAUCGAGAUUCGACUAAGCCAUGCGAGUCGAAUGUUCUUCGUGAACAUGGCGGACUGCUCAGUAACACGUGGACAACCUGCCCUUAGGACGGGGAUAAACCCGGGAAACUGGGUAUAAUACCCGAUAGGUCUCGAUUGCUGGAAUGCAUCGAGAUUUAAAGCUCCGGCGCCUAAGGAUGGGUCUGCGGCCUAUCAGGUAGUAGUGGGUGUAGCGUACCUACUAGCCUACGACGGGUACGGGUUGUGAGAGCAAGAGCCCGGAGAUGGAUUCUGAGACACGAAUCCAGGCCCUACGGGGUGCAGCAGGCGCGAAAACUUUACAAUGCUGGCAACAGCGAUAAGGGAACCUCGAGUGCCAGGUUACAAAUCUGGCUGUCGAGAUGCCUAAAAAGCAUUUCAUAGCAAGGGCCGGGCAAGACCGGUGCCAGCCGCCGCGGUAACACCGGCGGCUCGAGUGGUAACCGUUAUUAUUGGGUCUAAAGGGUCUGUAGCCGGCCGGAUAAGUCUCUUGAGAAAUCUGGCAGCUUAACUGUCAGGCUUUCAGGAGAUACUGUCUGGCUCGAGGCCGGGAGAGGUGAGAGGUACUUCAGGGGUAGGGGUGAAAUCUUGUAAUCCUUGAAGGACCACCAGUGGCGAAGGCGUCUCACCAGAACGGACCUGACGGCAAGGGACGAAAGCUAGGGGCACGAACCGGAUUAGAUACCCGGGUAGUCCUAGCCGUAAACGAUACUCGCUAGGUGUCGGCCACGGUGCGACCGUUGUCGGUGCCGUAGGGAAGCCGUGAAGCGAGCCACCUGGGAAGUACGGCCGCAAGGCUGAAACUUAAAGGAAUUGGCGGGGGAGCACCACAA
RNAcentral lists this ribosomal RNA (880 nucleotides) under Methanosaeta sp. enrichment culture clone AA13. RNAcentral describes it as "bacterial SSU rRNA". It matches the Rfam family "Archaeal small subunit ribosomal RNA", at positions 1 to 884 of the family's 1478-position model. The record is from RNAcentral. Lineage: Archaea; Methanobacteriati; Methanobacteriota; Methanomicrobia; Methanotrichales; Methanotrichaceae.